Molecule: long non-coding RNA, 2212 nt
Filed under: Anthonomus grandis grandis
Lineage: Eukaryota; Metazoa; Arthropoda; Insecta; Coleoptera; Curculionidae
Description: uncharacterized LOC126749596
Source: RNAcentral
AAAAAAAGCUUCAUCUUUUGUCUUUCAAAUGCCAUAUAAACAAAAUUUUUGUGAACCAUACAGGGCGAGCAAUAAUACAUUUUCUCCAUGAAGGUCCGAAAAAUUGACAAAAAAAAAUCACAUUUUAUUUAAUAACUUUUUAAGGGUGGCACUUGGAAAUUUCAAACUUUCAACAUUUAUAAUACUUUUUAAGGGCUUUUUUCUGAUGCAGUCUACAGUCAUCUACGUAGAGUAGUUUUUGCUCUACACCUUUUUUUAACUUUGACGCUUAAUACUGGCAUACCUAUGUAACGUACGAAGACCAUUUUUACCUUCAGACACGCGGAAUUUAUCUGGCUAUAAUCCACUAAAUACUGUUUUGUUUCAAAUAUCACCAUUUUUCAAGAAAAUGCAAUUUUCCAUAAAAAGUCCAAAAAAUCGGUCAGCUGAAUAUUGGUACCCCCCCGGUACCGGCUCUCAAGGUACAAUAAUCCGGGUGGUCUAGCACUCAACAAGCACGUCACCCAGGCAAUGAAACCUGCGCUGUUCGCCCGUGUCCGCUUAAAAUAAGACCCUUUUUAUAAUCGAAAUUUAAUUACUAAAACCGAUUGGAAUCGGUCCAGAAUUGAUGUUAAACUGUUCCUAAGGCUUUAUACUAUUUUUCCAUGUACAAAUCAUAAGGUAAAAACCUUUUUUUAUACCCUAAAACAUCGUCUGAAAAUGGUCGAUUUUGACGUUUACGGGCGAUUUUAAUGCAGACUUUUACCGCAGUUUUGAUGACAUCAGUGACAUGACGUCAACGUGAACGAAUCGUCUCGGUCUUGCUUUUUAUUUUCGUUGAUAAAAUACUUAAAUUAGCUCAGAAUUUCCCGAAAUCGGUAUGGAAUAAUUCUAGAGACUCUGGAGAAUCCGAUUAUGUGCAUAUCUUUUACCAAGUCGCCUUCCUUUAGCUGUGAUCAUUCGACAAAGUUGUAAAGUUUUAGAAUUUACCGUGUUUUCAUGCGACGGAAGGACUCAUACAUGGCAUUUUGGGUGCGGGAGUGAAAGUUUAAUUACUAUUUAUUUAUUUUAACACAAAAUCUAACUCUGGACUGUGGAUCAUUGUUAUUAUUUGAAUUGUGAAGAAAACGCAAGCGUUAAAGGUAGGCCUUAAUGUAAUAUGAGGAGCUUCAAUGACAACCUAACCUCUACAUGUAUUAUGUAAAUAAAUAACAAGACCAAAAAGGAGAAAAUAUUGAACUUAUUAGUUAGAAUAAGGUCCAAAAUGUGAAAGAUUGGCAAAUUUCCGCUUAACUAAACGCUGUAAAUGUUAUAUUACACCUUGCAUAUAAGCAUAUAAUCAGUUUUCACCCAAGAGGUGUGUAACCUUAAAAGAGUAAGGAAAUUCAACUACAGUUAUGUGUCCCUAGUCAAAUAUGAAUAACAAAUAGAUAUCUGUAUGGUCUAACAAUUAACGCCCAUGCAAGGGUAUCUUAAUGGUUUUGCUCAUGACUGGCAGCAGGCCACUUAGUCUGAAUGCUCAGGUCAGCGAGAUGCCAGGCUUUAAAACAUCUAAGAGGAUAAUCGAAGCAGUAGAUAGCAUCCAGUUGUGGCACUAUCGAAGGGGAGGAAUGCAGAUUCUGGCAGCUAGAUGUUUUAAGUGUUGAGUUGAUGAUAAGGUGGAAGAUGGUGGUGAAAAGAAGCAGAAAAAGCCAGUCCAAAACUGGAGAGACUUUUUUUUAUCUUAUUGUUGUUGUUCUAUAUUCUAUAUUAUUUAGAUACCAAAGAUAGUUUCCUUACAGAGAAGUAUUUAUAUAUCAUAUAGUUUAGUACAUAUUAAACAUCAUAUUAGUGAUUACUCCACACACAAAAUUGUACAAUUUUCAUUUUACGAGAAAUAGAGAACAUAUAUAUACAAAUUUUUAUAGGAUACACAAGGUUAAGUGUUGGGUUUCCUUCUUUGCUCCCAAACUCUAUAAUGCUCUCCCUGCUACCAUUAAACUGUUACCUACCAAGUUUUUUACUGCAAUAUAAAUUUACUAUAAAACAAUAUCUAUUGAAAAAAUGCUUUUUCUCAAUACAAGAAUUUCUAAAUGAUGAUUUCUCAUAUAUGUAAUUAUAAUAUAAAACUUUUAGGCUUUAAAUCCUUUGAUUAAUAAUAAUAUUAAGAAGUGUAAAGAUUUUCUCUGCGACAUAUGUGAGCACCUUUGUGUAUAUGGCAUUAACAAAUUAUGUUUAUGUUUAAAUUAGGUGU